GGCGCCGUAGGUCAGCACCACGGCCAUCUGCAGGAUGGUCUUGACCCGGGCGCUGAUCUUAUCGGCGGUGACGCCG
Molecule: transfer RNA, 76 nt
Filed under: Nesterenkonia cremea
Lineage: Bacteria; Bacillati; Actinomycetota; Actinomycetes; Micrococcales; Micrococcaceae
Description: tRNA-Cys
Source: RNAcentral